GCCUCCACAUUGACUCUGUACCGGUACCCCCUGUAUAUAGCCUCCACAUUGACUCUGUACCGGUACCCCCUGUAUCUAGCCUCCACAUUGACUCUGUACCGGUACCCCCUGUAUAUAGCCUCCAAAUUGACUCUCUCUCAGACUUGAAGUGGAUUUUCCAUCAAAUCGCUAUUAGUUACAUGUCUGCCUGUAGUGAACUACGAGGUGAAUACGCUUCUAUCACGCCCACGGCGUCAUUGCGUCAAAUGUUACGCAGCAUCAUCUGGAGACGUGUCUGCAACAAGAGUUUCAACGUUCACCUUCUGCUACCAUUUCUGCCAAGCCGUCUACAGCGUACAGUUCGACUCACACGAUGUCUCUGCAACGCAAUGCUGCGCAUCGGGAAACGAAUGGGGUGUCCAUUUGUCAUGCAGACAGCUUGGUCCCCCCACCCCCCCUUUCCAUCGAGUCCGUCUAAGGCUGUGUAAACCACACAGCACCACACGCAGAGACAGAGUGAAAGCGUCACCGUUACACUUGUAUUAGGCUAUGUAGGGGAUAGGUCACGCAUUGGCAGACAGCCCUCCCUUUUCCGACUGUACCUACACUGCUGUGGGAAGGAGUCUGUUUCAUGCCUGCUACACAGUCUCACCCCCAGCUGCCUAGCAGUACCAAUAAUGUUUUUUCACAUGUGAAUUCUAAACUCUCCUUGUUGUGUCUGCCAGGUGUUAGAUUCUCACACACACACACACAGUGUUUAUAUGUCUGCCAGGUGUUAGAUUCUCACACACACACAGUGUUUAUAUGUCUGCCAGGUGUUAGAUUCUCACACACACACAGUGUUUAUAUGUCUGCCAGGUGUUAGAUUCUCACACACACACAGUGUUUACAUCAUGUGUUUAAAUAUAUAUUUUUAAAUGUAUUGAGGAACCGACUGCUCCACUGUCUCAAUCCACCAGGUACCAAGAUGGUCGUUGACUGUGGAUGUUCCCUUCUGUCACUGUCAGCUGUGACAUUAUCCUACAUGAUAGUGAUUAAUACCCCCUGUGUUGUAGUCCCAAGUCCAGGGAGCUACCGUGUCACUCGGUAAUUGGAAAGGUCAUUUCUUUUCAUGCUGAGCGACACCCAGUCACCCACUUUCUGUCACCUGCUUAUGCCUGCUGUAGAGAUGAGGACUUCUGAAACUAGGUCCAGAGUGAUACUGCCGAAAGACCCUCC
Oncorhynchus tshawytscha (Chinook salmon) is the source of this 1197-nucleotide long non-coding RNA. Lineage: Eukaryota; Metazoa; Chordata; Actinopteri; Salmoniformes; Salmonidae. The record is from Ensembl.